GGUUAAGCGACUAAGCGUACACGGUGGAUGCCCUGGCAGUCAGAGGCGAUGAAGGACGUGCUAAUCUGCGAAAAGCGUCGGUAAGGUGAUAUGAACCGUUACAGCCGGCGAUGUCCGAAUGGGGAAACCCAGUGCAAUUCGUUGCACUAUCGUUUGAUGAAUACAUAGUCAAACGAGGCGAACCGGGGGAACUGAAACAUCUAAGUACCCCGAGGAAAAGAAAUCAACCGAGAUUCCCCCAGUAGCGGCGAGCGAACGGGGAGCAGCCCGGAGUCUGAAUCAGCUUGUGUGUUAGUGGAAGCGUCUGGAAAGUCGCAGGGUACAGGGUGAUACUCCCGUACACUAAAACGCACAGGCUGUGAACUCGAAGAGUAGGGCGGGACACGUGGUAUCCUGUCUGAAUAUGGGGGGACCAUCCUCCAAGGCUAAAUACUCCUGACUGACCGAUAGUGAACCAGUACCGUGAGGGAAAGGCGAAAAGAACCCCGGCGAGGGGAGUGAAAAAGAACCUGAAACCGUGUACGUACAAGCAGUAGGAGCCCACUUGUUGGGUGACUGCGUACCUUUUGUAUAAUGGGUCAGCGACUUAUAUUCUGUAGCAAGGUUAACCGUAUAGGGGAGCCGCAGGGAAACCGAGUCUUAACUGGGCGUUAAGUUGCAGGGUAUAGACCCGAAACCCGGUGAUCUAGCCAUGGGCAGGUUGAAGGUUGGGUAACACUAACUGGAGGACCGAACCGACUAAUGUUGAAAAAUUAGCGGAUGACUUGUGGCUGGGGGUGAAAGGCCAAUCAAACCGGGAGAUAGCUGGUUCUCCCCGAAAGCUAUUUAGGUAGCGCCUCGUGAAUUCAUCUUCGGGGGUAGAGCACUGUUUCGGCUAGGGGGUCAUCCCGACUUACCAACCCGAUGCAAACUACGAAUACCGAAGAAUGUUAUCACGGGAGACACACGGCGGGUGCUAACGUCCGUCGUGAAGAGGGAAACAACCCAGACCGCCAGCUAAGGUCCCAAAGUCAUGGUUAAGUGGGAAACGAUGUGGGAAGGCCCAGACAGCCAGGAUGUUGGCUUAGAAGCAGCCAUCAUUUAAAGAAAGCGUAAUAGCUCACUGGUCGAGUCGGCCUGCGCGGAAGAUGUAACGGGGCUAAACCAUGCACCGAAGCUGCGGCAGCGACGCUUAGGCGUUGUUGGGUAGGGGAGCGUUCUGUAAGCCGUUGAAGGUGGCCUGUGAGGGUUGCUGGAGGUAUCAGAAGUGCGAAUGCUGACAUAAGUAACGAUAAUGCGGGUGAAAAACCCGCACGCCGGAAGACCAAGGGUUCCUGUCCAACGUUAAUCGGGGCAGGGUGAGUCGACCCCUAAGGCGAGGCCGAAAGGCGUAGUCGAUGGGAAACAGGUUAAUAUUCCUGUACUUGGUGUUACUGCGAAGGGGGGACGGAGAAGGCUAUGUUGGCCGGGCGACGGUUGUCCCGGUUUAAGCGUGUAGGUGUGUGUUCCAGGUAAAUCCGGUUCACUUUAACACUGAGGCGUGAUGACGAGGCACUACGGUGCUGAAGUGACAAAUGCCCUGCUUCCAGGAAAAGCCUCUAAGCAUCAGGUAACAUCAAAUCGUACCCCAAACCGACACAGGUGGUCAGGUAGAGAAUACCAAGGCGCUUGAGAGAACUCGGGUGAAGGAACUAGGCAAAAUGGUGCCGUAACUUCGGGAGAAGGCACGCUGAUAUGUAGGUGAAGUGAUUUACUCAUGGAGCUGAAAUCAGUCGAAGAUACCAGCUGGCUGCAACUGUUUAUUAAAAACACAGCACUGUGCAAACACGAAAGUGGACGUAUACGGUGUGACGCCUGCCCGGUGCCGGAAGGUUAAUUGAUGGGGUUAUCCGUAAGGAGAAGCUCUUGAUCGAAGCCCCGGUAAACGGCGGCCGUAACUAUAACGGUCCUAAGGUAGCGAAAUUCCUUGUCGGGUAAGUUCCGACCUGCACGAAUGGCGUAAUGAUGGCCAGGCUGUCUCCACCCGAGACUCAGUGAAAUUGAACUCGCUGUGAAGAUGCAGUGUACCCGCGGCAAGACGGAAAGACCCCGUGAACCUUUACUAUAGCUUGACACUGAACACUGGUCCUUGAUGUGUAGGAUAGGUGGGAGGCUUUGAAGUGUGGACGCCAGUCUGCAUGGAGCCAUCCUUGAAAUACCACCCUUUAAUGGCUGGUGUUCUAACGUGGGCCCCUAAUCGGGGUUGCGGACAGUGUCUGGUGGGUAGUUUGACUGGGGCGGUCUCCUCCUAAAGAGUAACGGAGGAGCACGAAGGUCAGCUAAUCCUGGUCGGACAUCAGGAGGUUAGUGCAAUGGCAUAAGCUGGCUUGACUGCGAGCGUGACGGCGCGAGCAGGUGCGAAAGCAGGUCAUAGUGAUCCGGUGGUUCUGAAUGGAAGGGCCAUCGCUCAACGGAUAAAAGGUACUCCGGGGAUAACAGGCUGAUACCGCCCAAGAGUUCAUAUCGACGGCGGUGUUUGGCACCUCGAUGUCGGCUCAUCACAUCCUGGGGCUGAAGUAGGUCCCAAGGGUAUGGCUGUUCGCCAUUUAAAGUGGUACGCGAGCUGGGUUUAGAACGUCGUGAGACAGUUCGGUCCCUAUCUGCCGUGGGCGCUGGAGAAUUGAGGGGGGCUGCUCCUAGUACGAGAGGACCGGAGUGGACGCAUCACUGGUGUUCGGGUUGUCAUGCCAAUGGCAUUGCCCGGUAGCUAAAUGCGGAAGAGAUAAGUGCUGAAAGCAUCUAAGUACGAAACUUGCCCCGAGAUGAGUUCUCCCUGACUCCUUGAGAGUCCUGAAGGAACGUUGAAGACGACGACGUUGAUAGGCCGGGUGUGUAAGCGCAGCGAUGCGUUGAGCUAACCGGUACUAAUGAACCGUGAGGCUUAACCUU
Molecule: ribosomal RNA, 2907 nt
Filed under: Klebsiella michiganensis
Lineage: Bacteria; Pseudomonadati; Pseudomonadota; Gammaproteobacteria; Enterobacterales; Enterobacteriaceae
Description: 23S ribosomal RNA
Rfam family: Bacterial large subunit ribosomal RNA
Source: RNAcentral